Molecule: ribosomal RNA, 484 nt
Filed under: uncultured bacterium
Lineage: Bacteria
Description: partial 16S ribosomal RNA
Rfam family: Bacterial small subunit ribosomal RNA
Source: RNAcentral
AUUGAACGCUGGCGGCAGGCCUAACACAUGCAAGUCGAGCGGAUGAAGGGAGCUUGCUCCUGGAUUCAGCGGCGGACGGGUGAGUAAUGCCUAGGAAUCUGCCUGGUAGUGGGGGAUAACGUCCGGAAACGGGCGCUAAUACCGCAUACGUCCUGAGGGAGAAAGUGGGGGAUCUUCGGACCUCACGCUAUCAGAUGAGCCUAGGUCGGAUUAGCUAGUUGGUGGGGUAAAGGCCUACCAAGGUGACGAUCCGUAACUGGUCUGAGAGGAUGAUCAGUCACACUGGAACUGAGACACGGUCCAGACUCCUACGGGAGGCAGCAGUGGGGAAUAUUGGACAAUGGGCGAAAGCCUGAUCCAGCCAUGCCGCAUGUGUGAAGAAGGUCUUCGGAUUGUAAAGCACUUUAAGUUGGGAGGAAGGGCAGUAAGUUAAUACCUUGCUGUUUUGACGUUACCAACAGAAUAAGCACCGGCUAACUUCGUG